Molecule: ribosomal RNA, 254 nt
Filed under: uncultured bacterium
Lineage: Bacteria
Description: partial 16S ribosomal RNA
Rfam family: Bacterial small subunit ribosomal RNA
Source: RNAcentral
CACGUAGGGUGCGAGCGUUGUCCGGAUUUAUUGGGCGUAAAGGGCCCGUAGGCGGUUUGGUAAGUCGGGUGUGAAAACUCCGGGCUCAACUCGGAGAUGCCACCCGAUACUGCUAUGACUUGAGUCUGGUAGGGGAGUGCGGAAUUCCUGGUGUAGCGGUGAAAUGCGCAGAUAUCAGGAGGAACACCGGUGGCGAAGGCGGCACUCUGGGCCAGUACUGACGCUGAGGGGCGAAAGCGUGGGGAGCAAACAGG